UACAGAGGUGGCAAGCGUUGUUCGGAAUUACUGGGCGUAAAGGGCGCGUAGGCGGCCUUCUAAGUUAGACGUGAAAUCCCCCGGCUUAACCUGGGAACUGCGUCUGAUACUGGGAGGCUCGAGUAUGGGAGAGGGAUGUAGAAUUCCAGGUGUAGCGGUGAAAUGCGUAGAUAUCUGGAGGAAUACCGGUGGCGAAGGCGGCAUCCUGGACCAUUACUGACGCUGAGGCGCGAAAGCUAGGGGAGCAAACGGG
This 253-nucleotide ribosomal RNA is filed under the name uncultured bacterium. Its description in RNAcentral is "partial 16S ribosomal RNA". It matches the Rfam family "Bacterial small subunit ribosomal RNA", at positions 524 to 776 of the family's 1533-position model. The record is from RNAcentral.